Jaculus jaculus (lesser Egyptian jerboa) is the source of this 2601-nucleotide long non-coding RNA. RefSeq lists it as uncharacterized. NCBI's taxonomy places the organism in Eukaryota, Metazoa, Chordata, Mammalia, Rodentia, Dipodidae. The record is from RefSeq and is a predicted model, not a curated record. The transcript is spliced from 3 exons.
GUUCACAAUCAUUUGCACAGUCCACAGAUUCCGCAGCCGAGGAUGAAUGUUUUAACGAUGCUACCCAAGCCUGUAUCCCUGGGCACAUGAAGAGGGACCAGUGAGCCGGUGAGAAUGAAUGGUUCGUCCUCAGACCAAGUUCCCCUCAUCCAGUAGCUGAUCAAGAAAUCAGUCCAUUUCCUGAGCAGUUUGCGCCUAACCUGUGGGUGGUUCCCUGCAAAGUCAGCGGCUCCGGAUCCACUUGGGAGCUUUCCCCAGACCCGAGAGCGCAGAGCGUCCCCCGAGCCUGCGAGGGAGGUGAACCCCGCGGAGUCACUGCAGGAGGGUGAUGUUCCCCGCGGGAGCCGACCCGAGCAGGACGAUGGGCCUCCACACAGGACCGCCGAGCCUGUGACCGGGAAGGAGCAGGCUGAGCGCGACCCUGGUAGACCUCGGCGGGACGCGAGCCCUCGCCCGGUGACUCCUUCGAAACUUGGAAGAGGCGGGGGUCUCCAACAGUUUCCUGGACCUCCUAUCAAGAAUGCAGAAGUUGUUCUUUUUGGCUAUUAAACCUUGAUGAGGACCAGAUGGAGAAGGGAGUUGCAUUGGAGGAUUGGUGGUGAUCUGUGAUUCAAGGUUGCCUGACAGUCCAGGGCCCCACUUCGCCCAUAAAGCCUUUAGCAUUGUCUUCUGAAAGUGAUCCAAGCCCUGUACAUUCACAGAAUUAAUAUAAAUGGCACGGUCGUGAAUUUACUACAUUGACAGGAAUUCAGACCUCAGUCAUAGGACAGACAGUAAGAGAGCUUGUAGCCUUGAUGUCAUGUUGUAAUUUGAAGUAGGAAAGUUACUAAUUAUAAAUUUAUAAAAAGCUCCCCUCACUGUGUGUACUGCUGCUGCUACAAGCAGGCUUUUAUUUUGAAAGGAUUUAAUUCGUUUACUUUUGCUACUCUUACCAAGUCCUCAUCUCAGUCUUCAAGUCUCAAUCCUGGAGCAUCUGGCAUAUGACCAAAUAAAAGAUGGCAUGCUGGUAAGAGCUCACAUCAGUCCAAACACAACUUGACUCUUUUCAUUCUUUUCUUAGCAAACUUUUAAGCCUCAGGUGAAGCCUCUGGUAAACAUGAGCCCUUGCUUCCCACCACAUGGAAGAAAGCAGAGAGCACCCUAUCAGAAGGAGUAAAUUGUGAUGCACACACACCUGUCUUGCAUGUAGUUUCACAAUGCCUAUUCAUCUUCAGCCCAGACACGGUGUUAAACUGGACUUUUAAAAUAGUGAUUCUUAACUUUAAUGGCUCGCCUUCAGAAUAUUGGCUUUAGCUCCUGAAAACCAAUGGACCAGUUCCCAGUAGAAGUUCAUGGGGAAGGAGUGAUACUGCAUUCCGGCACAUGAAGAAUGUGUUUCUACAUUACAUGUGUAAUGCACUCUUGAAAAGCAUGCUGAGUAUUGAGUGGAACCUGUUACAAGUAAUGGCAUUAUCACAAACAUUUGCAAAAAGAACUUAAUUUGAGAAGAAAGGAAUUAGGAGAUUAUUAUAUUUUCAUAAAAGAAUGACAAAUAUUCACUAUGUUAAACAUUAGCACUUCAACAACACAUCUUUUUGUUCCCAACUCACUAUAGAUGCCUUUUUGAAGAGGAAACCUAUAAUCUUUUUAAAAAUUAUUUUAUGUACUUAUUUGAGGGGGGGGGAGGGAGAAAAUGGCAUGCCAGAGCCUCCAACCAGUGCAAGUGAAUUCCAGACGCGUGAACCAAUUUGUGCAUCUAGCUCAUGCAGUCCUGGGAAAUCAAACCUGGAUCCUUUGGCUUUGCAAGCAAGUGCCUUAACCACUAAGCCAUCUGUCCAGCCAGAAACCUAUAUUCUUGAAUGCUCAAAGAUCGUAAUGUCCAUACUUACCUGUCAGGAGUGACACUAUGAUCAUGAAGGUGAUUAUCACAGGGCAAGGAUUAUCCAGUGCACUCCAGAUGUGCUGACCCCUGCAGUUUCCCCAAAUGCGGGAAACUGGACUGCAUAAUUUGUGGUAGUGGGGAACUAUGUUCUUGCUCUCUUUAAAAAAAGAAAAAGAAGAAAAAGAGGUCAUACUGUUCAUGUGUAUUUAUCAUCUGGAAAUCUAUGUGUAAACAGAAGAAAAUGCAUUUCUCACACAUUUCAUGUGAAAGUGGCACCCUGGUUGGUGGCCAAGGCUAGAAUGCAAAGCCUUGUCUGUGGGUAGUCUGUCUCCUUUCUUAGGAGCACAGACUGUCAAUUAUCUGACCAACACCCAAUCUUUGACCCCUUCAUUCCUUCUGGGUCUCUAGCCUCCAAAUUUACUGGGGUGACCACCUUCCCAUGUCCCCUUGGCAUGCUCAGCAGGUGACUAUUGCUUAGUCUAAUACAGUCCUCACCAUUUAUCCCUGUCAUUAGCUUAGUGUGGACAGGUCAUGUAACACUUGCUACUGACAAGAACAAAUACAUGUUCUUUGGGGCUGAGAACAGAGGUUCACAAAGGUUUUCUUUUGUGAUAUAAAGGUGCAUAAAGAGAAAAUGGCUCUUUAAGUGCUAAUAUGUAAGAUUGUAAAAUUUAAAGAUGAUGCUAAUGUGUAAAAAAAAAGGUCUUUGCUUGUUGAGUAAAAAGACAGAUGGUUCCUGA